GUCCCUUCGGGACAUCCGAUAAAUCGAAACGAUACAAAGAAAACGAGUAUAAUUUUUGUGUAAGAAUAACACUAACAAUUUAAGAAAUGGCUCAAAUUUUU
Small nuclear RNA from Solanum dulcamara, 101 nucleotides. NCBI's taxonomy places the organism in Eukaryota, Viridiplantae, Streptophyta, Magnoliopsida, Solanales, Solanaceae. The record is from RefSeq and is a predicted model, not a curated record.